This 104-nucleotide small nucleolar RNA is filed under the name Rhinolophus ferrumequinum (greater horseshoe bat). RNAcentral's name for it is "Small nucleolar RNA U13 (ENSRFEG00010014474.1)". It matches the Rfam family "Small nucleolar RNA U13". The record is from Rfam by way of RNAcentral. Lineage: Eukaryota; Metazoa; Chordata; Mammalia; Chiroptera; Rhinolophidae.
AUCCUUUUGUAGUUCGUAAGUGUGAUGAUUGGGUGUUCAUGUUCUUGUGUGAGAUGUGCCUCCCUCAAACCUUGUUAUGAUAUCAGUACAUUACCCAUCUGAUG